Long non-coding RNA from Apis laboriosa (Himalayan honeybee), 3898 nucleotides. RefSeq lists it as uncharacterized. Lineage: Eukaryota; Metazoa; Arthropoda; Insecta; Hymenoptera; Apidae. The record is from RefSeq and is a predicted model, not a curated record. The transcript has 3 exons.
AAUAGAUUUCUUUGUAACAGGACGGUGACACGCAUUCGCGAAUGCAUCUUGUUUUGGCGAUGUCACUUCUUUCCGGUGAUAAGAUCUUGCAAGCGCCGCUUUCUUCGCAAGCCUGCUCGAAUUGCCUGAAGAGAAGUUCCUGCGGGCAACAUUUUGUUAUAAAAAUAUCAGAACUAAAUUCAAAUCCACUCCAUUCGAUUGAUACCGAGUUGAAGAGUCUUUUAGCACGCGAUGGAAAAUGUGAAUAUAGCUAACUGUGUAUGCUUCUAACAAACAAUAAUGGGAUAAAAUUGAGCGUAACAAUUGGUUCGUGCGUGUUCAAAGAUUAACCCCAAUUAAUGCUCGUACGAGUUCUAUUAUUGAUGCUGUUGUUUAAUUUUCUUUGAAGAUAGUUUCCUUUCUUUUUGUAUGGACAAUACACUGAUACAAAUACUGAUACAAAUACUGAUACUAAUACCGAUACUAUUUUUAUUUUACUGUGAAGUAAAAGACAAUAGAGAAGUUGAAUUCACAAGAACCGUAUUUUUGUCGAAGACGAUUCUUUUCUCGAAGCAAACUUGAUUACAGUUUCUCGAAAUGGCAAAGAUAUAUCAGCACCAGUGAUAAAAUCGAAGUACGCCUCGAGCACUUUGACUGUUCGAGUUAAUGCCAAAUCGAUUUUACCCCCAUGGCGAAAUCGCGAAAUCACCCGUCGCCUCGUUACGUCCCCCAUGGGGAUGCUGGAUCCACGAUGCGAAGCAAUCCUCGAGUAUCACGCAUCACUGACAAGAUAUCACUGUGAGAGGUCUCUCGAUAAUUUUAACUCGAGGAAUCCUACGUAACUUCCUACAUGGUUCCCUGCCAAUGCUGAAUUUAAUACAGUUGCCAGACGAGGCCGGUGCGGCAAAAAGCGCCACCCCCCAAAACACAAGGCAUCGACCAUAACCUGUACACAAGAUGGAAACGCGGCCCUCGCGAGGAUUCUCGCCAAACUGGUUUGGACGACUUACAUUCUUGGUAGUCUCCUUGUACGGAUAUUCAGGGAAGGUGAAGGUCUUGGCGAGGGUGCCUGGCCCUUCCUUCAGCUGUCCGACGACGAGGAUCAGACCGAUCGCAAACGCCAUCCCCGGCGCCAUGUUGAGCAGCCGGCUACGAUCAAUAUGAUGGGGUGGCGCUCGCUUACGCUCUUUACCAAACCUGAUACACUAUAUAUUCUCGAAAUAACGAGUACCGAGCAAUACCGUACCCGGAUCUUUCUGCAACUCGAAUCAAAGGGAACUAUGAAGCGAAGAUGGAUCACGGAAGCGGGUUUCCUCCGAUUCGAGGAAAUGCACGCGCGGAUUCAUCGAUAAAUCCAUGGAGGCCGGCGUCGCGGCUCGGCUAUUUUGCAUAAAAUGUAACGGAGUGUGUAUGCAGCGAGGCGCGAUCGCAUUUAUCGUUGCGACGCAUGCGAGCGGACCAGACGACGGUUUUUGUUCGGCUAGGCGUUGCGCAUCACCAGCUCUCUCUCCACGUGCACCACGGCCACCCUCCUGUCGACCAUUAAAUCGAGAUUUCGCCGGUGAUUAGCGGCAGUUUGCCUCGCCUCGCUGCGCCCGCCAGUCGAUAGAUUUUCCCAAUAAUUUUCCGUCAGUUCGAGGAAUUUCGCCGUACCGAGAAGCCAUCGCCUAUAUUACGUUCUCUUCUUCCUGGAUUUUCGGCAGAAUGGAAUUUAAAGUGGUUUCGUUAUUCUAUUUUUUAUUUAUUUAUUUAUUUUUUUUUUUUAGCUUUUUGAAACAUUCGAAUUUUUUGUUGAGAUUGAUAGGAUUUUUUGAGGAAAUUCAUAUUGAUUUAAUGAGAAAUUGAUAGUUGAUUUGUUGGAAAAUAGAUCAAGUAGUUAUAUUAUAAUUAAUGAUAAAAUUCUUCGAUUUUUUUUUUUUUAAUUUUUCAUAAUAGAAUUUUCAAUUUCGAUACUUCAAAUUCUUUUGUUUUAAAAAAUUGAAGCAUUGAUUUAGUGAUCCAUUUAAAAGUCUCCAAUUUUCUUUUAGUUUUAAUAAUAAAAUUUUUUUUAUUUUUAUUUUUGAUAUUCCUAUUAACUGAUUUAUAGAAAUUAUUAAAGCCAAAGAAAAUGUUUAACACUAGUAAAUUUCUAGUUAAUUAUUAAUUAGUUUUAAUAAACUUUGAAGAAGAUAGAUUUUAAAAUUGAUAGAAUUCAAUAUUUUUCUUUAUCGGCAAUCUAGAAUAUAGAAACAGUUUUCAAUGCUGAAGAUGAAAGAUAUUUUUCUUCACUAUCUCGGGAUAUUACUCUUCCUUAUAAAUCUUUUUACUAUCUCUGAAUAUUGAUACGUGCAAAAUUGAAACAGAAAAAUAAGAUCGUCAAUAUCUGUUUACAUAAAUAUGCACAUUGCUAUAUUUCUACGAUAAAAAAUAAAAAUAAUAUUGAUCGGUAUUGAUUCAUAAUUCUCUUCAAGAUUCAUAAAUAUCUCAAUGUUAAUUUUUUCAAGAAGAAUCAGAUCUUAUAUUAUCUUAAUGAAUCUGUUGAACAGAAAGAUCGUCCUCUCGAAUAAUUAUAUAUCAUUCUCAAUUGAGAAUACUAUCUCUAGAAUAAUUCUUUGUAAACAACCUAUUACACAAUCUGUUAUAUUGUAAUUAAUUAUUUGUCGACACUCAUUAAUUACAAGCUCUUCCAAGAGAAAGAGUAGAAAUUUAUGAGACAGAGACGCGUAACAAAUAGUACUAUUUCGAUUUUUAAAAUCAAUUAACGAAAGUGCACUUAAUUCUUAUGUUAAUAUCCAGCUAUCCAGGUAUCCCUUCACUUAGCAUAAAAUUAAAAAUUAACCAAUCUCUUCAAAAUAUUUUCAAAUCGAUUUUUGAAUUCUCCAGUUAUUUCAAGCGAAGUUACAACAACUUACAUCAAAAAAUCCCAUUACCAAAAAAUUAGCGAAAUCAGAAAUCUGAAAUUGAAUGUUUAAAACCUUGGUCACCGAGGCAAGAAUUAAACACGAAUCGUCCUGGAAAAUGAAAUUUCCCCACCGUCCAUGGUCAAUCUAAAAAUCUAUUGUAAAAACAAGAUGAUUAAUGGAAGGGGUGAAUUUCAAGCCGCGGUGGCCAUCGUUUCGAUUCGAAUUAAAAUUUUCAUUCGUGUUCGUACACACAGCCAGACGUCCCGGCUAAUUAAACACCGGUAGUGAUCCUGGAUCAGGCGAAUCGCGCGUGUUUCCGUUUGUGAAAAUCGCAAACGAGAACUUUUUCCAUACGUGGUUAGCCUAGAAAGGAGAGGAGAGAGAGAGAGAGAGAGAAAAGGGAUCGUUUGGAUUGCGGAGGGUUGAAAAAAAAUCCAAAAUCUCGCCGGUUUUUUAAUUACAUGCCUCCUCCCUCGUUUCAAACGCACGAACCGAUGCAUGAUGUACGAUGUACGUAUAUACGUGUGUAUGCACGCAAUGUUUCCGAUUAAAUCGCGUGUGUCUGUGAAAUUCCGUCGAUCUAUCGGCGACCAAGUCGCGCACGAAUGCCAGAUGUACUUCAAUAAAAAUUUUUAUUUAACAUAAGAAUCGUAAGCAUAGGAUAUGUCUUCUUACGGAAUUUUGUAUGGAAUUUCUUUUUUGUCGUGGCUUGGUUUUUGCAGGAAAUUGAAUAAUUCAGGAGGCGAUGAUUAUAUAUAACGUUAUAUAGAACGUAGCGUGUGAAAUUUUUAGACUUGAAUUGUAAUCGUGGGAUAUGUUUCAUUAUGCGUGGAAUUUUUUUAUUGUUAGGUUAGAUAUUGUAUGGGGAAUUGAAUAAUAGGUUGUUGUAAUUUGUUGUGAGAAAUGCUGUGUAUAUCAAAAAUUGAGAAAAAUUGAUGCGCGAACGAUCUCUUCUUUUAUUAUUAAAUAGACUCAGCCAAAUACAUGUUAAUUUUUGACUUGACUACGAGUGUACAAUAAAAAAAGAGUAGUACAUA